Molecule: ribosomal RNA, 507 nt
Filed under: uncultured bacterium
Lineage: Bacteria
Description: partial 16S ribosomal RNA
Rfam family: Bacterial small subunit ribosomal RNA
Source: RNAcentral
GACGAACGCUGGCGGCGUGCCUAAUACAUGCAAGUCGAACGCAUUUUCUUUCACCGUAGCUUGCUACACCGAAAGAAAAUGAGUGGCGAACGGGUGAGUAACACGUGGGUAACCUGCCCAUCAGCGGGGGAUAACACUUGGAAACAGGUGCUAAUACCGCAUAAUUCCAUUUACUGCAUGGUAGAUGGAUGAAGGGCGCUUUUGCGUCACUGAUGGAUGGACCCGCGGUGCAUUAGCUAGUUGGUGGGGUAACGGCCUACCAAGGCUGCGAUGCAUAGCCGACAUGAGAGGGUGAUCGGCCACACUGGGAAUGAGACACGGCCCAGACUCCUACGGGAGGCAGCAGUAGGGAAUCUUCGGCAAUGGACGCAAGUCUGAACGAGCAACGCCGCGUGAGUGAAGAAGGGUUUCGGAUCGUAAAACUCUGUUGUUAGAAAAGAACAAGGAUGAGAGUGGAAAGUUCAUCCCUUGACGGUAGCUAACCAGAAAGCCACGGCUAACUACGUG